AUUGAACGCUGGCGGCAUGCCUUACACAUGCAAGUCGAACGGCAGCACGGGAGCAAUCCUGGUGGCGAGUGGCGAACGGGUGAGUAAUAUAUCGGAACGUGCCCAGGUCGUGGGGGAUAACGUAGCGAAAGCUACGCUAAUACCGCAUACGAUCUAUGGAUGAAAGCGGGGGAUCGCAAGACCUCGCGCGAUUGGAGCGGCCGAUAUCAGAUUAGGUAGUUGGUGAGGUAAAGGCUCACCAAGCCGACGAUCUGUAGCUGGUCUGAGAGGACGACCAGCCACACUGGGACUGAGACACGGCCCAGACUCCUACGGGAGGCAGCAGUGGGGAAUUUUGGGACAAUGGGCGCAAGCCUGAUCCAGCAAUGCCGCGUGCAGGAUG
RNAcentral lists this ribosomal RNA (382 nucleotides) under uncultured bacterium. Its description in RNAcentral is "bacterial SSU rRNA". It matches the Rfam family "Bacterial small subunit ribosomal RNA", at positions 30 to 410 of the family's 1533-position model. The record is from RNAcentral.